GCGGGAAUAGCUCAGUUGGUAGAGCGCCACGUUGCCAACGUGGUUGUCGCGGGUUCAAGUCCCGUUUCCCGCUCCA
This 76-nucleotide transfer RNA is filed under the name Desulfobacteraceae bacterium. Its description in RNAcentral is "tRNA-Gly". It matches the Rfam family "tRNA". Rfam says of the family: Transfer RNA (tRNA) molecules are approximately 80 nucleotides in length. Their secondary structure includes four short double-helical elements and three loops (D, anti-codon, and T loops). The record is from RNAcentral. Lineage: Bacteria; Pseudomonadati; Thermodesulfobacteriota; Desulfobacteria; Desulfobacterales; Desulfobacteraceae.